UUUUUUUUUUUUUUUGAGACGGAGUCUCGCUCUGUCGCCCAGGCUGGGGUGCAGUGGCCGGAUCUCAGCUCACUGCAAGCUCCGCCUCCCAGGUUUAUGCCAUUCUCCUGCCUCAGCCUCCCGAGUAGCUGGGACUACAGGCGCCCGCCACCUCACUCGGCAAGUUUUUUGUAUUUUUUAGUAGAGACGGGGUUUCACCGUGUUAGCCAGGAUGGUCUCGAUCUCCUGACCUCGUGAUCCGCCCGUUUCGGCCUCCCAGAGUGCUGGGAUUACAGGUGUGAGCCACUGCACCUGGGCACGGAAGUCCCACUCUUGAUGCCCCCGAACCACCAGCUUGGUCAAAGCACCAGCCUUCUAUCCCUCCUAAUGGCCUAAGCCACUUCUCGUUAGAAAGCCCAGUGGGCUCUGAGAGGCAGAGCCCGGCAUGCCUGCAUCCCUCUCCCGUGCAUGCCAUGGAGCCUUGUGGGUUACCCUUGUCAAGGAAGGGCUUGCCCUUGGCAGAAAAGGAAAGCAGGCUACUUCCCACCUUCUUGGGGCACUGGCUCAGGGGAUGGCAGAUCCCACCAAGCAUGCUGGCAGACCCUGCCACCAUCCUUGUCCAUUCAUGGAAUCCAGGGUUGGAUUAGAACCCAUAGCCGGGGUUCUGCAUCUGCCUGGCUUCCCAUUAUGAGCACAAGGCCAUCAGGACAUGCAGUCCCUGCUGGCCACAUACCUGAGAGGCAUUCUCUUAGGCCAGGUCACUGGGCUGGAGAGUGGGAUAAGAAGAAGCCAAGGGGCAGAGGUGGGAGGUUAGACUCUAGCCCAACCUUCCUUCAACAGAUAGAAUUCUGUCCAUCAGGGUAGGUUGGGCGCCAUCCCUACAGCCAGGGGCCUGCAAGUUAACUCUGUCUCACCCCCAGCUUGCACCCUAGCUGCGCAGAGAGGUACAAUGGUCGGGAGGGUUGGCCCUCAUUGGCCCAGCUCACCUGGACCCCCAGGGGAGCCCCAGACAGGAGGACCGGGGUCCUGGCACAUUGGACAUCUGUCUAUUUUCAGGAACCUGGCAGCUCAGGAUGACAUGUAGACACACAGCAGGACCCAGCAAUUCCUUAUAUAAACCUUCAUCCUGCAAGGGGCAGUGUCGAGGGCCGGGGGCAGCUGGAGCUCUUCCAGAAGAGCCAGGCUGAAGCUUGCCUCUGACAACCAAAGCUUUCUGCUGAGAUUCACAAGCAGGCUCCAGGAGGACACGGAGACACUUUGGAGAGCAGACCUUAAGCACUCUGACCCAAGGAAGGCUCAGGUUACCUUCCUACGACAUUCAUUCAUAAGAUACUAAUGACAGCCAUUCUCUAUUCCUUAGGGCAGGUCCUGGAGGGACUUCUAGUGUCUUGUUUGAAUAUGCCUUUCACGCAUUCCCUCUCCAGGGUAAACUCUAACUCAGACUGGCCUCCCUUUCUGCUACUCAGUCAACAGGUAUUUAGGAAGCCUCUCCAGCUGGCGGGGCAGGCUAGCCUACUUGGCAGUGGUGUGGUGACCUAGCCACCCCUAGCACCCUCUUCCCCCAGAGCUUUCCAUUCCCCUACUGAGAAGACACCUGUGGUGGCAGGAGCCCACAGACAGGCCUCCCCCUUCUGCAGGCCCCAUAAAGCUUCAGAAUCCCCACCCUCCAACCAAGAGAGGCAGCUGAGAGGGCCGGUGAGUGGUUCUGGAACUAUGGCUGCGUGGAGCUGGAUACAGGGAGUGCCCAUCCUGGUGGCAGGGCACCCACCACUGGGUCCUGCGCAUGGCCCCUUAAGUCCUGAAGCCUGCACCAGGUCUGUGAACAGCCCUCCCCG
Macaca fascicularis (crab-eating macaque) is the source of this 1814-nucleotide long non-coding RNA. The record is from Ensembl. NCBI's taxonomy places the organism in Eukaryota, Metazoa, Chordata, Mammalia, Primates, Cercopithecidae.